GAUGAACGCUGGCGGCGUGCUUAACACAUGCAAGUCGAACGAAGCGCUUAAGCUGAUUUCUUCGGAUUGAUUCUUAGGUGACUGAGUGGCGGACGGGUGAGUAACGCGUGGGUAACCUGCCUCAUACAGGGGGAUAACAGUCAGAAAUGGCUGCUAAUACCGCAUAAGCGCACAGUACCGCAUGGUACAGUGUGAAAAACUCCGGUGGUAUGAGAUGGACCCGCGUCUGAUUAGCUGGUUGGUGGGGUAACGGCCCACCAAGGCGACGAUCAGUAGCCGGACUGAGAGGUUGAACGGCCACAUUGGGACUGAGACACGGCCCAG
Molecule: ribosomal RNA, 324 nt
Filed under: uncultured bacterium
Lineage: Bacteria
Description: bacterial SSU rRNA
Rfam family: Bacterial small subunit ribosomal RNA
Source: RNAcentral